This 229-nucleotide ribosomal RNA is filed under the name uncultured bacterium. RNAcentral describes it as "partial 16S ribosomal RNA". It matches the Rfam family "Bacterial small subunit ribosomal RNA", at positions 118 to 347 of the family's 1533-position model. The record is from RNAcentral.
UGAGCAACCUGCCCUUGACUCUGGAAUAACAGUUGGAAACAGCUGCUAAUACUGGAUAUGACCUCUGACGACAUCGUCUGGAGGUGGAAAGCUCCGGCGGUCAAGGAUGGGCUCGCGGCCUAUCAGCUUGUUGGUGAGGUAACGGCUCACCAAGGCUUCGACGGGUAGCCGGCCUGAGAGGGCGACCGGCCACAUUGGGACUGAGAUACGGCCCAGACCUCUACGGGGA